GGGCCCUCCCCUUGCGUCGCAACCCCUGCGGCUCCACUUUUCCCGCGUGAUUCUUGCUUCCGGAGGCUGCGGAAGCCCGGCAGUGUCGCAAGGACAAGACUGAGUGCAUGGAUCUAGCAAGCAACCUAUUGUCAAGGAGGAGCCAGCAAGGAUUUUGAUUGUUCCGGAGUCAUCAGCAGAAGCCAGAAGGUUUUCAGUUUCAUUCAGUGAAACACAGUUGAUUUCUUCUUCAUUCGCAUGAAAAUCGUCCAAGGAUCCUUUGAGAGACCUGACAUCCAUACGCGGGCCCCUCACUGCUGCGGCCUCUCCCGUUGCGGAGCACAGGCUCCGGACGCACAGGCUCAGCGGCCAUGGCUAACGCACCCAGCCGCUCCACGGCAUGUGGGAUCUUCCCGGACCGGGGCACGAACCCGUGUCCCCUGCAACGGCAGGAGGACUCUCAACCACUGCGCCACCAGAGAAGCCCCCAGCAAUGUGUUUUAACGAGCCCUCCAGGAUGGACUGACUCUACUUAUCCUUGAAGCUGUAAAAGAAACUUCAGUGCCUUUCCAGACAAAUCUUGGACCGUCUUCCUUUGAUGGCUGAAAGCUGAAAAAUGAAUAAUAAAUAAAACUCCGAAGCCUGAGAUCUAAA
Globicephala melas (long-finned pilot whale) is the source of this 633-nucleotide long non-coding RNA. RefSeq lists it as uncharacterized. Lineage: Eukaryota; Metazoa; Chordata; Mammalia; Artiodactyla; Delphinidae. The record is from RefSeq and is a predicted model, not a curated record.